This 305-nucleotide ribosomal RNA is filed under the name uncultured bacterium. Its description in RNAcentral is "bacterial SSU rRNA". It matches the Rfam family "Bacterial small subunit ribosomal RNA", at positions 333 to 655 of the family's 1533-position model. The record is from RNAcentral.
UUUUUCCUACGGGAGGCAGCAGUGGGGAAUAUUGCACAAUGGGGGAAACCCUGAUGCAGCGACGCCGCGUGAGUGAAGAAGUAUUUCGGUAUGUAAAGCUCUGUCAGCAGGGAAGAAAAUGACGGUACCUGACCAAGAAGCCCCGGCUAACUACGUGCCAGCAGCCGCGGUAAUACGUAGGGGGCAAGCGUUAUCCGGAUUUACUGGGUGUAAAGGGAGCGUAGACGGCUGUGCAAGCCAGAUGUGAAAGCCCGGGGCUCAACCCCGGGACUGCAUUUGGAACUGUGUAGCUGGAGUGUCGGAGG